Linepithema humile (Argentine ant) is the source of this 356-nucleotide long non-coding RNA. RefSeq lists it as uncharacterized. The record is from RefSeq and is a predicted model, not a curated record. NCBI's taxonomy places the organism in Eukaryota, Metazoa, Arthropoda, Insecta, Hymenoptera, Formicidae.
UUUAUCGUGUCUGUUUAUUUCAAAGUGCUAAAUAUUUAUAUAAUUGAUAUUAUUGCGAUUCCAGUAUCGGAGAUUUGCAUCUGUGCAUCUCAAAUCAUCUUCGCAUAAAUUAGGUUAUCUUUUUGCCGAAAUGCAGUAAAAAAGCAAUGAGUGCAAUGAUUAUUAUUAGUAUCAGUGACUCGCGUUUGUGCGCCCGAAAAUCAUCGCCCGAAUUUCUUCGUACAAAUGAAGUUAUCUUGUCGUCUGAAAGACAAUGGAAAAGCAUCAAGUGUAUGAUUAUUAUCAGAAUCGUCAAUCCCGCUUACCUCCUUCUCGAGAAGAAGUCCGAAUUUCUCCAUGACAUCUUUGCCGAGUAA